AUACUUACCUGGCAGGGGAGAUACCAUGAGCAAGAGGUGGUUCACCCAGGGUGAGGCUCGUCAUGCAACUUCCGCGAUUGGCUGACCCCUGCGAAUUCCCCAAAUGUGGGAAUCUCGACUGCAUAAUUUUCUGGUUAGUGGGUGGGACUGCGUUCGCGCUCUUCCCCU
Small nuclear RNA from Astyanax mexicanus (Mexican tetra), 168 nucleotides. Its record names the gene U1. It matches the Rfam family "U1 spliceosomal RNA". Rfam says of the family: U1 is a small nuclear RNA (snRNA) component of the spliceosome (involved in pre-mRNA splicing). Its 5' end forms complementary base pairs with the 5' splice junction, thus defining the 5' donor site of an intron. There are significant differences in sequence and secondary structure between metazoan and yeast U1 snRNAs, the latter being much longer (568 nucleotides as compared to 164 nucleotides in human). The record is from Ensembl. Lineage: Eukaryota; Metazoa; Chordata; Actinopteri; Characiformes; Acestrorhamphidae.